RNAcentral lists this unclassified non-coding RNA (413 nucleotides) under soil metagenome. Its description in RNAcentral is "partial contains 5.8S ribosomal RNA, internal transcribed spacer 2, and large subunit ribosomal RNA". The stretch from base 1 to 120 matches the Rfam family "5.8S ribosomal RNA", at positions 35 to 154 of the family's 154-position model. The record is from RNAcentral.
GAUGAAGAACGCAGUGAAAUGCGAUAAGUAAUGUGAAUUGCAGAAUUCAGUGAAUCAUCGAAUCUUUGAACGCACCUUGCGCUCCUUGGUAUUCCUUGGAGCAUGCCUGUUUGAGUAUCAUGAGCAAAUCUCAAAGUCGAUCCUUUUGUUAAUUCAAUUGGUUUGCUUUGGACUUGGAGGCCUUGCAGAUUUCACCGUCUGCUCCUCUUAAAUGCAUUAGCUGGAUCUCAGUAUUAUGCUUGGUUCCACUCGGCGUGAUAAGUAUCACUCGCUGAGGACACUGUAAAAGGUGGCCAGGAAAAUACUGAUCGAACCGCUUCUAACGGUCUAUUAACUUAGACAAUUACCCUUAAGUUUGAUCUCAAAUCAGGUAGGACUACCCGCUGAACUUAAGCAUAUCAAUAAGCGGAGGA